RNAcentral lists this small nucleolar RNA (120 nucleotides) under Castor canadensis (American beaver). Its description in RNAcentral is "Small nucleolar RNA SNORA51 (ENSCCNG00000022046.1)". It matches the Rfam family "Small nucleolar RNA SNORA51". Rfam says of the family: ACA51 is a member of the H/ACA class of snoRNA that guide the sites of modification of uridines to pseudouridines. The record is from RNAcentral. Lineage: Eukaryota; Metazoa; Chordata; Mammalia; Rodentia; Castoridae.
GCCUGGUACAUACUACAGGCUGCGUUCUUACACUGAUUGUAUAAAAAGAGGAAGGGGAGUAGACCUACCCUAUCACUACCGAUCCAGUGUCUGGUCUGCAAUGUGAAUGGAAGGGUGUGG